CAUAAAUCUAAAUUCCGUUCUUUUUUAAUAUAAAAAAUACCAAAGGGGAUCAAAGGGUGCCACUGUUAUAAAUUCUAAAAUAUUUUUAAAAUAACAAACUACCAUGAAGAAGCAUCAUAGAGACAUAAUUUUCAUUGGCGUCACGACAAACAGAUCUAAGCACCGCUAACAUCAAAAGAUUACCUGUCCAAAUGGAGUUUGAG
RNAcentral lists this unclassified non-coding RNA (203 nucleotides) under Hevea brasiliensis (rubber tree). The record is from RNAcentral. Lineage: Eukaryota; Viridiplantae; Streptophyta; Magnoliopsida; Malpighiales; Euphorbiaceae.